UCCUACAUUACAUUAGAAUCCAAACAUCAUCAUCCUACUAAUUGAAACAUAACUGCAAACACCGAAAACAAGCAAGUUACACCAUCUGCAAUAUUAGAAUAUUUCAAGUAUCAAUUUAUAAAAUUUAUUAACCUUAUAUCUCAAAAAUAUUAAAAAAUUAACUUUAUAUAAAACUUACCCAUCAUCACUCAUCUGUGAUUUUACAUACAAAUUCUGCCCACUCUAUCCUUACUUCAUCAAUUUCCUUUUUGGAGUAGCAUCCUCCUGCAAACUAUAAGAAAGACAAACUUGUGAUCAAAUAUGAAAUUAUAGAAAUUGUAUUGAAGUAAAAUUUAAUAAAAAUUAUAAAUUACAAUUACCAGUGUAGUUAUUGGGAGAGAGUGAUCAGAUACAAUAUUAUCAAUAAC
RNAcentral lists this long non-coding RNA (407 nucleotides) under Salvia miltiorrhiza (redroot sage). Its description in RNAcentral is "long non-coding RNA (SMIL_LNC005860)". The record is from RNAcentral. Lineage: Eukaryota; Viridiplantae; Streptophyta; Magnoliopsida; Lamiales; Lamiaceae.